Long non-coding RNA from Temnothorax curvispinosus, 243 nucleotides. RefSeq lists it as uncharacterized. The transcript has 2 exons. The record is from RefSeq and is a predicted model, not a curated record. Lineage: Eukaryota; Metazoa; Arthropoda; Insecta; Hymenoptera; Formicidae.
CCUUUAAUUACACUACCCAUGAAAACCUACCUUUACGCUUACCGCGUCCCGUGAGCCCGUGUGCAGUCCGGCUGCACGAUGCAUGUGCCAAUAGAAGUACGUGGUCACUGGUCAUAGUUCAAUGAUAACAAGACGUGUCAUUUUUUCAAGUGUUUCCUAACUUCAGAUAUCUAACUUCUGUAUAAAACACCGGUAAAAUAGUGGGAAAAAUGGAAGGCAUCGAUUGUGAUUUUAACGUGGACG